Molecule: ribosomal RNA, 274 nt
Filed under: uncultured bacterium
Lineage: Bacteria
Description: partial 16S ribosomal RNA
Rfam family: Bacterial small subunit ribosomal RNA
Source: RNAcentral
CUACGGAGGGUGCAAGCGAUACUCGGAAUCACUGGGCGUAAAGCGCGCGCAGGCGGCUAUUUAAGUUGGAUGUGAAAGCCUACGGCUCAACCGUAGAACUGCAUCCAAAACUAUUUAGCUAGAGUGUGGGAGAGGAAGAUGGAAUUAGUUGUGUAGGGGUAAAAUCCGUAGAGAUAACUAGGAAUACCAAAAGCGAAGGCAAUCUUCUGGAACACUACUGACGCUGAGGCGCGAAAGCGUGGGGAGCAAACAGGAUUAGAUACCCUAGUAGUCC